CAACCGGUCCUUUUAAGGACCAUCGAAAAUGAUUUU
Aedes albopictus (Asian tiger mosquito) is the source of this 36-nucleotide non-coding RNA. NCBI's taxonomy places the organism in Eukaryota, Metazoa, Arthropoda, Insecta, Diptera, Culicidae. The record is from Rfam.